GACGAACGCUGGCGGCGUGCCUAAUACAUGCAAGUCGAACGCAGUUGCGAACGGGUGAGUAACGCGUAGGUAACUUCCUUAUAGCAGGGGAUAAAUAUUGGAAACGAUAGCUAAUACCGCAUACUUUGAGUUGGACCUGUGUUGUAUUAGGUAGUUGGUGAGGUAAAGGCCGACCAAGGCGACGAUACAUAGCCGGACUGAGAGGGUGGUCGGCCCACCCGGGACUGGAGAACCGCCCAAGCUCCUUCGGGGGGCAACAGUAGGGGAUCUUUGGCAAUGGGCGGAAAGCUGGACGAGGAAAGCCGGCUUGGGGAAGAAGGGUUUCGGAUCGUAAAGCUCUGUUGUUAGGGAAGCGGUAACUAACCAGAAAGGGACGGCUAACUACGUGCCAGCAGCCGCGGUAAUAC
RNAcentral lists this ribosomal RNA (407 nucleotides) under uncultured bacterium. RNAcentral describes it as "partial 16S ribosomal RNA". It matches the Rfam family "Bacterial small subunit ribosomal RNA", at positions 28 to 526 of the family's 1533-position model. The record is from RNAcentral.